CCUACGGGAGGCAGCAGUGGGGAAUAUUGCACAAUGGGGGAAACCCUGAUGCAGCGACGCCGCGUGAGUGAUGAAGUAUUUAGGUAUGUAAAGCUCUAUUAGCAGAGAAGAAAAUGACGGUAUCUGACUAAGAAGCACCGGCUAACUACGUGCCAGCAGCCGCGGUAAUACGUAGGGGGCAAGCGUUACUCGGAUUUACUGGGCGUAAAGGGGGCGUAGACGGGAGAAUAAGUCUGGAGUGAAAUGCCGGGGCUUAACCCCGGAACUGCCUUGGAAACUGUGCAGCUAGAGUGCAGGAGAGGUAAGUGGAAUUCCUAGUGUAGCGGUGAAAUGCGUAGAUAUUAAGAGGAACACCAGUGGCGAAGGCGGCUUACUGGACUGUAACUGACGUUGAGGCACGAAAGCGUGGGGAGCAAACAGGAUUAGAUACCCGAGUAGUC
RNAcentral lists this ribosomal RNA (440 nucleotides) under uncultured bacterium. RNAcentral describes it as "partial 16S ribosomal RNA". It matches the Rfam family "Bacterial small subunit ribosomal RNA", at positions 338 to 795 of the family's 1533-position model. The record is from RNAcentral.